Molecule: long non-coding RNA, 905 nt
Filed under: Homo sapiens (human)
Lineage: Eukaryota; Metazoa; Chordata; Mammalia; Primates; Hominidae
Description: HSALNT0192477
Source: RNAcentral
GGAGUGUGCGUGGCCUGAGCCGUGCGGGUGACUGCUUCAGGGCUUCUCCGCGACUGGACCGGGCGCCGCUCGAAAGCACGCCCUCCAUUCGCACUGCUUGUUGGGCUCAUCAUGAAGCGCUUGGGCUCCGUGCAGCGGAAAAUGCCGUGUGUGUUUGUGACGGAGGUGAAAGAGGAGCCUUCCUCCAAAAGGGAGCAUCAGGUCAGCACCUUUUGGGGAAACCCCCUAAUCAGCCAUUUAAAGUUUUGGCAACUGAAACUGUAAGUCACAAGGCAUUAGAUGCAGAUAUAUACAGUGCAAUUCCAACAGAAAAAGUGGAUGGAACAUGUUGUUAUGUUACUACCUAUAAAGAUCAGCCAUACCUUUGGGCUCGACUAGAUAGAAAACCCAACAAACAAGCUGAAAAAAGAUUUAAAAAUUUUCUACAUUCAAAAGAAAACCCAAAAGAAUUUUUUUGGAACGUUGAGGAGGACUUCAAACCAGCUCCGGAGUGCUGGAUACCAGCAAAGGAGACAGAACAAAUAAAUGGGAACCCAGUGCCUGAUGAAAAUGGACACAUUCCUGGUUGGGUACCAGUAGAGAAAAACAACAAACAGUAUUGCUGGCAUUCCUCUGUAGUUAAUUAUGAAUUUGAAAUUGCCCUGGUACUAAAACAUCAUCCUGAUGAUUCUGGACUUUUGGAAAUUAGUGCAGUGCCACUUUCAGAUCUCUUAGAACAAACACUGGAACUCAUAGGAACAAAUAUCAAUGGAAACCCAUAUGGGUUAGGGAGCAAGAAACAUCCAUUACAUCUUCUUAUACCACAUGGAGCAUUUCAAAUAAGAAAUCUACCUUCAUUGAAGCACAAUGAUCUCGUGUCCUGGUUUGAAGAUUGCAAAGAGGGUAAAAUUGAAGGAAUAGUGUGG